RNAcentral lists this ribosomal RNA (446 nucleotides) under uncultured bacterium. Its description in RNAcentral is "partial 16S ribosomal RNA". It matches the Rfam family "Bacterial small subunit ribosomal RNA", at positions 338 to 795 of the family's 1533-position model. The record is from RNAcentral.
CCUACGGGUGACAGCAGUCGAGAAUCAUUCACAAUGGGGGAAACCCUGAUGGUGCGACGCCGCGUUGGGGAAUGAAGGUCUUCGGAUUGUAAACCCCUGUCAUGUGGGAGCAAAUUAAAAAGAUAGUACCACAAGAGGAAGAGACGGCUAACUCUGUGCCAGCAGCCGCGGUAAUACAGAGGUCUCAAGCGUUGUUCGGAAUCACUGGGCGUAAGGCGUGCGUAGGCUGUUUCGUAAGUCGUGUGUGAAAGGCGCGGGCUCAACCCGCGGACGGCACAUGAUACUGCGAGACUAGAGUAAUGGAGGGGGAACCGGAAUUCUCGGUGUAGCAGUGAAAUGCGUAGAUAUCGAGAGGAACACUCGUGGCGAAGGCGGGUUCCUGGACAUUAACUGACGCUGAGGCACGAAGGUCAGGGGAGCGAAAGGGAUUAGAUACCCGGGUAGUC